GAAUUGCGAUAACUAAUGUGACCCGCAAGUCUUGUGAAUCAUCGAGUAUUUGAAUGCACAUUGCACCCACCUUUCGGUGGGUAUACUUGAUUGAGCGUCAUUUUUCUCUCUCCCAUCUCUAUUAAGUGGUGGGGUAAAUGAGGGUUACUUUUCCAAAGUUCCCUUGAAAUGAAUUGGGGAUAGACUUAGGGUUUACUAAAAUCUUACCAGAUGUGAUAAAUUCACCAUCUGGUAUUCCUAUGACUAUGACACCCAUUUCUUGCGGUCCAAAGGGGGCUGUAAAAUUCAUAACCUUUGACCUCAAUUCAAGUAAGAGUACCCGCUGAAUUUAA
This 332-nucleotide unclassified non-coding RNA is filed under the name uncultured fungus. Its description in RNAcentral is "sequence contains ITS1". The stretch from base 1 to 100 matches the Rfam family "5.8S ribosomal RNA", at positions 50 to 154 of the family's 154-position model. The record is from RNAcentral. Lineage: Eukaryota; Fungi.